GACGAACGCUGUGCGGCGUGCUUAACACAUGCAAGUCGAACGGAAAGGCCCUGCUUUUGUGGGGUGCUCGAGUGGCGAACGGGUGAGUAACACGUGAGUAACCUGCCCUUGACUUUGGGAUAACUUCAGGAAACUGGGGCUAAUACCGGAUAGGAGCUCCUGCUGCAUGGUGGGGGUUGGAAAGUUUCGGCGGUUGGGGAUGGACUCGCGGCUUAUCAGCUUGUUGGUGGGGUAGUGGCUUACCAAGGCUUUGACGGGUAGCCGGCCUGAGAGGGCGACCGGCCACAUUGGGACUGAGAUACGGCCCAGACUCCUACGGGAGGCAGCAGUGGGGAAUAUUGCACAAUGGGCGGAAGCCUGAUGCAGCAACGCCGCGUGCGGGAUGACGGCCUUCGGGUUGUAAACCGCUUUCGCCUGUGACGAAGCGUGAGUGACGGUAAUGGGUAAAGAAGCACCGGCUAACUACGUGCCAGCAGCCGCGGUGAUACGUAGGGUGCGAGCGUUGUCCGGAUUUAUUGGGCGUAAAGGGCUCGUAGGUGGUUGAUCGCGUCGGAAGUGUAAUCUUGGGGCUUAACCCUGAGCGUGCUUUCGAUACGGGUUGACUUGAGGAAGGUAGGGGAGAAUGGAAUUCCUGGUGGAGCGGUGGAAUGCGCAGAUAUCAGGAGGAACACCAGUGGCGAAGGCGGUUCUCUGGGCCUUUCCUGACGCUGAGGAGCGAAGGCGUGGGGAGCGAACAGGCUUAGAUACCCUGGUAGUCCACGCUGUAAACGGUGGGUACUAGGUGUGGGGUCCAUUCCACGGGUUCCGUGCCGUAGCUAACGCUUUAAGUACCCCGCCUGGGGAGUACGGCCGCAAGGCUAAAACUCAAAGGAAUUGACGGGGCCCCGCACAAGCGGCGGAGCAUGCGGAUUAAUUCGAUGCAACGCGUAGAACCUUACCUGGGUUUGACAUGGAUCGGGAGUGCUCAGAGAUGGGUGUGCCUCUUUUGGGGUCGGUUCACAGGUGGUGCAUGGCUGUCGUCAGCUCGUGUCGUGAGAUGUUGGGUUAAGUCCCGCAACGAGCGCAACCCUUGUUCACUGUUGCCAGCACGUUAUGGUGGGGACUCAGUGGAGACCGCCGGGGUCAACUCGGAGGAAGGUGGGGAUGACGUCAAGUCAUCAUGCCCCUUAUGUCCAGGGCUUCACGCAUGCUACAAUGGCUGGUACAGAGAGUGGCGAGCCUGUGAGGGUGAGCGAAUCUCGGAAAGCCGGUCUCAGUUCGGAUUGGGGUCUGCAACUCGACCUCAUGAAGUCGGAGUCGCUAGUAAUCGCAGAUCAGCAACGCUGCGGUGAAUACGUUCCCGGG
RNAcentral lists this ribosomal RNA (1344 nucleotides) under uncultured bacterium. Its description in RNAcentral is "16S ribosomal RNA". It matches the Rfam family "Bacterial small subunit ribosomal RNA", at positions 28 to 1378 of the family's 1533-position model. The record is from RNAcentral.